RNAcentral lists this ribosomal RNA (253 nucleotides) under uncultured bacterium. RNAcentral's name for it is "partial 16S ribosomal RNA". It matches the Rfam family "Bacterial small subunit ribosomal RNA", at positions 524 to 776 of the family's 1533-position model. The record is from RNAcentral.
UACGUAGGGACCAAGCGUUGUUCGGAUUUACUGGGCGUAAAGGGCGCGUAGGCGGCUUGACAAGUCACUUGUGAAAUCUCCGGGCUUAACUCGGAACGGCCAAGUGAAACUGUCAUGCUAGAGUGCAGAAGGGGCAAUCGGAAUUCUUGGUGUAGCGGUGAAAUGCGUAGAUAUCAAGAGGAACGCCUGAGGUGAAGACGGGUUGCUGGGCUGACACUGACGCUGAGGCGCGAAAGCCAGGGGAGCAAACGGG